UAUUAGCGGUACAAUCCGUCGGUUGGAUUCCCCAUCUUUGCAGAGAUUCGAAGCAGCCGAAGUCGAACGUUUGUGCUGCUGGCUUUUCUAUUUUAUUACUUUCUUGCGGCCAAGGCUGUUCCAUCAUCAUGCCCCGCUUUUGAGAGGAUUUCGGAAUCCUUCGCGCUGAUCAACGUUUACUUGUCAAUGGCCUCUCCAAAAGAAGUUGAGAAUCAAAUCGCAAACAAAAGCUUUCUUUCCUCUCCCCUUUUUCUUUUUGUUGGUACCUCGAGCGAAAGCUGUUGCAAGCACCUUCACCUCGUUUCCUUGAAGCUGCUUCCUCCUGCAAGUGGCCUUAUUGUGCUGUAAUCGGAGAACCAAGUGAGUCUUCCUUAAAGUAGUGAUGCAGCUUCGUCUGUUUUUGUCAAUUUCCCUGUUGGAGUCGUAAAGGCUGGAUGGCG
Molecule: long non-coding RNA, 440 nt
Filed under: Selaginella moellendorffii
Lineage: Eukaryota; Viridiplantae; Streptophyta; Lycopodiopsida; Selaginellales; Selaginellaceae
Description: long non-coding RNA (SMOE_LNC000800)
Source: RNAcentral